Molecule: small RNA, 28 nt
Filed under: Bombyx mori (domestic silkworm)
Lineage: Eukaryota; Metazoa; Arthropoda; Insecta; Lepidoptera; Bombycidae
Description: ovarian small RNA-10744
Source: RNAcentral
AAUACAUGGACAUUGGUUCAGAGACCUG